This 645-nucleotide long non-coding RNA is filed under the name Homo sapiens (human). Its description in RNAcentral is "HSALNT0104033". The record is from RNAcentral. Lineage: Eukaryota; Metazoa; Chordata; Mammalia; Primates; Hominidae.
GGAACCCGGGCGUCAGGGCUGCCAGCGCGUUCCCAGAACCCUGGCGUCCACCCCCACCCUGUCCUGUCACCACCGCCUGCCUCCCCCACCGACUGCCCCACGCGACCCCAGAGUGCCAAGGGCCGGCUCCAUGUCUCUUCUCCCCGGCGCCUGCAAGUCCUGCGCCCCGUCCCCGCUCUCAUGAAGCCGUGACAGAGCCGGCCGUCUCCACCCCGCUGUAGCCGCACAGACUGACAAUCUCGGCACAAAGAGGAGACAGCCAAGGCACCACCCUUCUAGAACUCAGGCCCAGGAACCCCCCUUCUGAGACUUGGAUCCCUGAUCCUGACUUCUGAUCCAUGUACCUUCCCCAGGCCCAGGAGGCCCAUGCUUGCUGCCCUUACGAGGGAAAGUCAAAGGGAAGGGCCACGAGGGAGAAGCAGGGAGACAGUAGAAGAGCAUGGGAGGAGGGAAACCCUUGAAAGGGAACGAGGAGUUCUAAAAUGGGUCAGAGGUCAUAGGUAGGGAUCUCGGAGCCUCACCUGUUUGAGGCCCAUGAGCUCAGCAUAGUCAAAGACGAGAAGGAUGCUAAAGAUGAGGAGCCAGGAGAUGACAUGGAGCACAAAGCAGAGGAGCGGCACCCAGGUGGCCCAUGGCUCAGCCCGA